Cyprinus carpio (common carp) is the source of this 539-nucleotide long non-coding RNA. Lineage: Eukaryota; Metazoa; Chordata; Actinopteri; Cypriniformes; Cyprinidae. The record is from Ensembl.
UCAUGCAUGUGAGCAGCUGUACAACUCCAUUCAGCAGCAUUGAGAGAUCGACUUUUCUGGAAUAAGAUAAGAGCUGUGAUGGAGCAGCAGCCCUGAUCCCAACAGCAAUGCAGAAUGAACAGCUUGGCAAAAAUCCAGUUCAACAUCUAUUUGAUGAUGAUGGCGGUGAUGCUGAAAAGAGAAAAGAGGUUGAAGAACACAAUGGUGGCUGCGCAGCAUAUCAGCUCAUAGAAGAUAAGGAAGAUUUUUCCAUUGAGAGUAGCAGGUGCUGCCAUCCCGAAACCUGAUGUGGACACAGAAAUGUACUGUAGCUAAUGAAGGAGAAUUGUGCAAACCCUGCAGUCACAUUUAAGACAAUUUAGACACAAUAUUGCCAGUUAAGCCUCAUUCACACCAAGAAGGGUGACUGUAAAUAUAACUAUAACAAUAACUAUAAUUUUAGUGUCCACACCAAAUAAGUGACCAUUUAAAGUGGCGGAUGACAAAAUUAAAGAAUGAGAUUAUAAUAAAGAGAAUAUUAUCAUCCGUUGGUGUGGACA